This 387-nucleotide ribosomal RNA is filed under the name bacterium enrichment culture clone ALO1_GLFRUDD03G4J2R. RNAcentral's name for it is "bacterial SSU rRNA". It matches the Rfam family "Bacterial small subunit ribosomal RNA", at positions 9 to 396 of the family's 1533-position model. The record is from RNAcentral.
GAGUUUGAUCGUGGCUCAGAUUGAACGCUGGCGGCAUGCCUUACACAUGCAAGUCGAACGGCAGCACGGGAGCUUGCUCCUGGUGGCGAGUGGCGAACGGGUGAGUAAUGCAUCGGAACGUAUCCUGGAGUGGGGGAUAACGUAGCGAAAGUUACGCUAAUACCGCAUAUUCUGUGAGCAGGAAAGCGGGGGACCUUCGGGCCUCGCGCUCUUGGAGCGGCCGAUGUCGGAUUAGCUAGUUGGUGAGGUAAAGGCUCACCAAGGCGACGAUCCGUAGCAGGUCUGAGAGGAUGAUCUGCCACACUGGAACUGAGACACGGUCCAGACUCCUACGGGAGGCGAGCAGUGGGAAUUUUGGACAAUGGGGGCAACCCUGAUCCAGCCAUG